UGUUGUAGUGGAUAAGACACGGGAUUUCUAAUCCCGCGAUCCGGGUUCGAGUCUCG
RNAcentral lists this transfer RNA (56 nucleotides) under Chattonella subsalsa. Lineage: Eukaryota; Raphidophyceae; Chattonellales; Chattonellaceae. The record is from RNAcentral.